AGCGAACGCUGGCGGCAGGCCUUACACAUGCAAGUCGAACGGUAACAGGUCUUCGGAUGCUGACGAGUGGCGAACGGGUGAGUAAUACAUCGGAACGUGCCUAGUAGUGGGGGAUAACUACUCGAAAGAGUGGCUAAUACCGCAUGAGAUCUACGGAUGAAAGCAGGGGAUCGCAAGACCUUGUGCUACUAGAGCGGCCGAUGGCAGAUUAGGUAGUUGGUGGGAUAAAAGCUUACCAAGCCGACGAUCUGUAGCUGGUCUGAGAGGACGAUCAGCCACACUGGGACUGAGACACGGCCCAGACUCCUACGGGAGGCAGCAGUGGGGAAUUUUGGACAAUGGGCGAAAGCCUGAUCCAGCAAUGCCGCGUGCAGGAUGAAGGCCUUCGGGUUGUAAACUGCUUUUGUACGGAACGAAAAGCCCCGGGUUAAUACCCUGGGGUCAUGACGGUACCGUAAGAAUAAGCACCGGCUAACUACGUGCCAGCCGCCGCAGUAA
RNAcentral lists this ribosomal RNA (498 nucleotides) under uncultured bacterium. RNAcentral's name for it is "partial 16S ribosomal RNA". It matches the Rfam family "Bacterial small subunit ribosomal RNA", at positions 29 to 523 of the family's 1533-position model. The record is from RNAcentral.